Molecule: ribosomal RNA, 784 nt
Filed under: uncultured bacterium
Lineage: Bacteria
Description: bacterial SSU rRNA
Rfam family: Bacterial small subunit ribosomal RNA
Source: RNAcentral
AUCUUCGGAUGUGUAUAAAGUGGCGAACGGCUGAGUAACACGUGGGCAACCUGCCCUUUGCACUGGGAUAGCCUCGGGAAACCGAGGUUAAUACCGGAUACUCCAUAUUUGUCGCAUGGCGAAUAUGGGAAAGCUCCGGCGGCAAAGGAUGGGCCCGCGGCCUGUUAGCUAGUUGGUGGGGUAGUGGCCUACCAAGGCAAUGAUGGGUAGCCGGGUUGAGAGACCGACCGGCCAGAUUGGGACUGAGACACGGCCCAGACUCCUACGGGAGGCAGCAGUGGGGAAUCUUGCACAAUGGGCGAAAGCCUGAUGCAGCGACGCCGCGUGCGGGAUGAAGGCCUUCGGGUUGUAAACCGCUUUCAGCAGGGACGAGGCCGCAAGGUGACGGUACCUGCAGAAGAAGCCCCGGCUAACUACGUGCCAGCAGCCGCGGUAAUACGUAGGGGGCAAGCGUUAUCCGGAUUCAUUGGGCGUAAAGCGCGCGUAGGCGGUCUGUUAGGUCAGGAGUUAAAUCUGGGGGCUCAACCCCUAUCCGCUCCUGAUACCGGCAGGCUUGAGUCUGGUAGGGGAAGAUGGAAUUCCAAGUGUAGCGGUGAAAUGCGCAGAUAUUUGGAAGAACACCGGUGGCGAAGGCGGUCUUCUGGGCCAUGACUGACGCUGAGGCGCGAAAGCUAGGGGAGCGAACAGGAUUAGAUACCCUGGUAGUCCUAGCUGUAAACGAUGGACACUAGGUGUGGGGAGAUUAUACUUUCCGUGCCGCAGCUAACGCAUUAAGUGUCCCGCC